CCGGGAGGAGCCGUGUCGGUGCCGCCUCGGUCCAUCAGGCCUCCUGCGGUUCUCCAUUGCCCGUCUCUCUGGAUUCACCGUCGCCACUGUGCCGCGCCUAGGACUCGGAUCCUGCCGGGAAAAUGUCAGAUGAAUUUUCGUUGGCAGAUGCGCUACCUGAACAGUCCUCUGCCAAAACGCCUGCUGUGACCAACACAAAAGCUGGCCAUUCUCCUCAGGGCUGGCCAGGCUCCAGCCCUUGGAGUAAUCCAAGCGCCCCCCCUGCAAUGCCGUCUGGACUCCCACCGAGUAGUGCAGCACCCUCUACUGUGCCUUUUGGACCAGUACCAACAGGAAUGUAUCCCUCCAUGCCUCCAGCCGGACCACCCCCAGGACCCUUUCCUCCUUCUGGACCAUCAUGUCCCCCACCUGGUGUUCCUUAUCCAGCCCCUGCUGUGCCAGGCCCUGGCCCCACAGGGCCAUACGCUACACCAAAUAUGCCCCUUCCAGAGCUACCUAGGCCAUACGGUGCGCCCACAGAUCCAGCUGCAGCUGGUACUUUAGGUCCAUGGGGAUCCAUCUCUUCUGGACCUUGGGCACCAGGAAUUGCGGGGCAGCAUCCUAAUAUGCCGUAUCGAUCUCCAGGGCCAUACCCCACUGUUCCUCCUCCAGUGUCGGGAGCACCGCCUGUUCCGUGGGGCACUGUGCCACCGGGAGCCUGGGGACCACCAGCACCAUAUCCUGGCCCCGCAGGAUCAUACCCCACGCCAGGACCCCACCCUACUCUGAAUAAUCCUUACCAAGUGCCUUCAGGACCUGCUGGUGCUCCGCCAAUGCCUGGUGGCCCCCACUCUUACCAUUAAGGUGACAGUGGAUGAAGAAAUGGCGUGUUGCCUUUUGAAGUAUAUGUAUAUGCACACGAAAGCAUAUAUAAUGGCUGGUUUCGCUGUUGGUUGAGGGCAUUUGUGAAAGAACUUUUGCACCUCAGCUCCUGCUUCAUGUAUUUGGAUAUGUAGACCAUCACGUGGGUACAAUCAGAUAAUAUGUGGAAGUGAAUCAUUUCAAGUGUGGUUAAUGUGAUUAUGUGUAUUGAAUAACAUUUGAUAUUUGUUUAAAGCAUAGCUAUGCCCUCAAAAUAUAAAAUAACAUGGAUUAUUGUUAGAAUCUACAACUUGACAAAAGUCAAAUACUUUUUCUAAUCACCCCACAACCACCACACCCCAUAUAACUAAGAAUCAUUUGAAAUGUGAGCUCCUCCUACUACACAAA
RNAcentral lists this long non-coding RNA (1248 nucleotides) under Rattus norvegicus (Norway rat). RNAcentral describes it as "long non-coding RNA NONRATT010329". Lineage: Eukaryota; Metazoa; Chordata; Mammalia; Rodentia; Muridae. The record is from RNAcentral.